AUAUUGCAAAUGCAGACCUGUAAACACAGAUCGCCUGUCAUCAGAAACGCUGUAAAACUUUUUACGUGCAAGAUAAUUCAAGUCCAAUGAAGAAAAGUGGGCAGAUGGAUACAACAUAGUCAUUACCAUUUAAUAACGAACUAUAAUGAAAAUGACUAGAUUUCCCUCUGCAGGUGCCUUAGAUUUAAUUAUUGCAAGAGUGGAGUGGAUGGAGGGAUGUGGCUGGAAAGACCCUACCUCAGACUGGUGUGGCAUUAAUAGGAGCCAAACCAGCCAGACGGUUUUUCCUUCCAGUUCAAAGACAGUCAGCAGAUGAAGCUUUAAGCCACAGAAACUUCUUCAGAUCAAUAGGUA
Molecule: long non-coding RNA, 354 nt
Organism: Cyprinodon variegatus (sheepshead minnow)
Lineage: Eukaryota; Metazoa; Chordata; Actinopteri; Cyprinodontiformes; Cyprinodontidae
Exons: 3
Source: RefSeq, a predicted model, not a curated record